This 73-nucleotide transfer RNA is filed under the name Ricasolia amplissima. Its description in RNAcentral is "tRNA-Gln". It matches the Rfam family "tRNA". Rfam says of the family: Transfer RNA (tRNA) molecules are approximately 80 nucleotides in length. Their secondary structure includes four short double-helical elements and three loops (D, anti-codon, and T loops). Further hydrogen bonds mediate the characteristic L-shaped molecular structure. tRNAs have two regions of fundamental functional importance: the anti-codon, which is responsible for specific mRNA codon recognition, and the 3' end, to which the tRNAs corresponding amino acid is attached (by aminoacyl-tRNA synthetases). tRNAs cope with the degeneracy of the genetic code in two manners: having more than one tRNA (with a specific anti-codon) for a particular amino acid; and 'wobble' base-pairing, i.e. permitting non-standard base-pairing at the 3rd anti-codon position. The record is from RNAcentral. Lineage: Eukaryota; Fungi; Ascomycota; Lecanoromycetes; Peltigerales; Lobariaceae.
UAUGUUGUAGACUAAUAGGUAAGUCAUAAAUUUUUGGUGUUUACUAAUGAGUGUUCAAAUCACUCCAACAUAA